GGUUGCACCGGUAGGCGUGCUAGCGCUCCAUACGUACUGCGGCUGUGGAACAUAUUACUUUUUCUUAUGAAUCGGUCCGGUCCUACACUUGGCAUAUUUCCUGGGGUUAGGUUACCGGCGGCGAUGAAAUAGGUUUCUGUGUGGUAGCCGUGGCGAUCUGCUGCUGCUGUAACCAUGUUUAGGAACAGCUUGAAGAUGCUGCUGACGGGCAGCAAGGCCAACCGCAAGAACCGCAACGGCAGCAGCGGACAAUGACCCAACACACCUCCAGACUGUGUAAUUGCUAUUUGACUAAGGAGAGUGAUGGAGAGCUGCAUCAGAUGACCUGGCCUCCACAAUCACCCGA
Long non-coding RNA from Oncorhynchus tshawytscha (Chinook salmon), 346 nucleotides. The record is from Ensembl. Lineage: Eukaryota; Metazoa; Chordata; Actinopteri; Salmoniformes; Salmonidae.